This is an RNA transcript of Nilaparvata lugens (brown planthopper), 1136 nucleotides long. RefSeq lists it as uncharacterized. The transcript has 4 exons. The record is from RefSeq and is a predicted model, not a curated record. NCBI's taxonomy places the organism in Eukaryota, Metazoa, Arthropoda, Insecta, Hemiptera, Delphacidae.
GCAACAGAGUUCAAACUUUUUCGUUCAGUACCUAUUCACUGUUUUUGUGUUGUAUAUUUAUCUUCACUCAAAUUCUUAGAUUUUAAAAUUAAGUAUGUGAUAGCGAUUCAACUGAAUAACUAUCUACAAGUUUUGUGAUUACUUGAUGACAACUCCUGACUUGUUUCACACUUUUUACUGACACGUUUGUAUGUAACUAACGUUACUUGACAAAAAUGAAAUAUUUCAGUUUUAAAAGUAGGCUUACUCUAAAAAUGUUUUUAUUGCUGUUGAAUUUAUAAAGUGAAAAACCAUCCCGUUUUAUCUUUUUUUUCAACAAUUUAAUAAUCAGCAUGCCUCGUCAAUACGUUUUAAUUGUAAGCGAUGAGAAGCGUAUUUGCGUUUCCACAAUGCGACACUACAUGUGGGAGAGCUAGGCGACUAGCAGUGCUACGCUCUACUGCCGGAGGGGGCCUCAGUCAACGUCAACGCCAACCACUUUUGGAUGGGUCGCGACACCUGCACUGACACACCCUGUCUGGCCAAUGGUCUGUCACACUUCCAUGUCAAGCCCACAAAGCUUGAAGACUCUUCUUCCCACUCCUUCAGGCUGCUUGUGCGCAUCACCUAUCCCCUUCUCACUUCGAGAGAGAUCGAACAAUGAGUGUGAUCUAGCAAUGUCACACGAGACGCAUAUCGUCCGAGAUUUGGAGUGUCGUACAACUCUACGGAAGGAAUGGCCGUGGAGUUGAAGAACAUGAUGCCGAGUGACGUGCGCAUAAUGUGGGCGAGGCCCGACGGACACCAGAUGCAGUACGGCGUGGUGAGUGCCAAGCAAGCAGACAGUGGAAGUGCACACACCGGUCGACUGGCAGAGGAGACACUGAAUGGCCUUCGGUUGCUGAUCGACGGCAGGCGACACUAUGUGGCGGUCACACCCGGCCACUCGGUUGCUUCGCUUGAAAUCAGGGCGCCACUCCACUCGCUGGCCGAACUCGUUCGCGGGGCGCUUCCGCCCAACUCGACCUGCCAGCUACAUUGCUGCGUGACUUAGAUCAAGGGAUAGCUUUGAUGGGGACGCCUACGUCAAUGAGGUCCGAGGACAGCAGGAGCGACGGGCGAUCGCCUUCCAAAGGCUCCGGGAGCGCUGGCGACAU